RNAcentral lists this ribosomal RNA (205 nucleotides) under uncultured bacterium. Its description in RNAcentral is "partial 16S ribosomal RNA". It matches the Rfam family "Bacterial small subunit ribosomal RNA", at positions 524 to 728 of the family's 1533-position model. The record is from RNAcentral.
UACGAAGGGGGCUAGCGUUGUUCGGAUUUACUGGGCGUAAAGCGCACGUAGGCGGUUUGUUAAGUGAGAGGUGAAAUCCCAGAGCUCAACUCUGGAACUGCCUUUCAUACUGGCAAGCUAGAGUCCGGAAGAGGUAAGUGGAACUCCUAGUGUAGAGGUGGAAUUCGUAGAUAUUAGGAAGAACACCAGUGGCGAAGGCGGCUUA